AUUGAACGCUGGCGGCAGGCCUAACACAUGCACGUCGAACGAGUGGCGGACGGGUGAGUACUGUCUGGGACACUGCCCGAUGGAGGGGGAUAACUACUGGACACGGUAGCUAAUACCUCCUACCAUCGGAUGUGCCCCGCUGGGAUUAGCUAGUAGGUGGGGUAAAGGCUCACCUAGGCGACGAUCCCUAGCUGGUCUGAGAGGAUGACCAGAAAGACUGGAACUGAGACACGGGCCAGACUCCUACGGGAGGCAGCAGUGGGGAAUAUUGCACAAUGGGCGCAAGCAUGAUGCAGCCAUGCCGCGUGUAUGAAGAAGGCCGUCGGGUUGUAAAGUACGUUCAGCGGGGAGGCGUUACCCGCAGAAGAAGCACCGGCUAACUCCGUGCCAGCAGCCGCGGUAAUUC
This 406-nucleotide ribosomal RNA is filed under the name uncultured bacterium. Its description in RNAcentral is "partial 16S ribosomal RNA". It matches the Rfam family "Bacterial small subunit ribosomal RNA", at positions 30 to 526 of the family's 1533-position model. The record is from RNAcentral.